RNAcentral lists this ribosomal RNA (442 nucleotides) under uncultured bacterium. RNAcentral's name for it is "partial 16S ribosomal RNA". It matches the Rfam family "Bacterial small subunit ribosomal RNA", at positions 338 to 795 of the family's 1533-position model. The record is from RNAcentral.
CCUACGGGUGGCAGCAGUGGGGAAUAUUGGGCAAUGGGCGCAAGCCUGACCCAGCAACGCCGCGUGAAGGAAGAAGGCUUUCGGGUUGUAAACUUCUUUUAUCAGGGACGAAGCAAGUGACGGUACCUGAUGAAUAGGCACGGGCAACUAAGUGCCAGCAGCCGGGGGAAUUCGUAGGUGGCAAAGGUUAUCCGGAUUUACGGGGUGGAAAGGGCGUGUAGGCGGGAGUGCAAGUCAGAUUUGAAAACUAUGGGCUCAACCCAUAGCCUGCAUUUGAAACUGUACUUCUUGAGUGCUGGAGAGGCAAUCGGAAUUCCGUGUGUAGCGGUGAAAUGCGUAGAUAUACGGAGGAACACCAGUGGCGAAGGCGGAUUGCUGGACAGUAACUGACGCUGAGGCGCGAAAGCGUGGGGAGCAAACAGGAUUAGAUACCCGGGUAGUC